AGCGAACGCUGGCGGCAGGCCUAACACAUGCAAGUCGAACGAACGCUUCGGAGUCAGUGGCGGACGGGCGGGUAACACGACGGAACGUGCCCUGAGGCUCGGAAUAACUCAGUGAAACUUGUGCUAAUACCGAAUGUGCCCUUCGGGGGAAAGAUUUAUCGCCUUUAGAGCGGCCCGCGUCUGAUUAGCUAGUUGGUGAGGUAAAGGCUCACCAAGGCGACGAUCAGUAGCUGGUCUGAGGGGAUGAUCAGCCACAUUGGGACUGAGACACGGCCCAAACUCCUACGGGAGGCAGCAGUGGGCAUCGUUGCCCAAGGGCGAAAGCCUGACGCAGCCACGCCGCGUGCAUGAUGCAGGUCUUAGGAUUGGAAAAUUCUUUGCCCGGGGACGAUAAUGUCGGGCCCCGGAGAAGAAGCCCCGUCUACCUUCGUG
RNAcentral lists this ribosomal RNA (432 nucleotides) under uncultured bacterium. RNAcentral describes it as "partial 16S ribosomal RNA". It matches the Rfam family "Bacterial small subunit ribosomal RNA", at positions 29 to 507 of the family's 1533-position model. The record is from RNAcentral.